CCUACGGGAGGCAGCAGUGGGGAAUAUUGCACAAUGGGGGAAACCCUGAUGCAGCGACGCCGCGUGCGCGAUGACGUAUUUCGGUAUGUAAAGCUCUAUCAGUAGGGAAGAAAAUGGCGUUACCUGACGAGGUAUCCACGGCUCACUACGUGCCAGCAGCCGCGGUAAUACGUAGGGGGCAAGCGUUAUCCGGAUUUACUGGGUGUAAAGGGAGCGUAGGCGGUCCUGCAAGCCUGUUGUGAAACGCCCGGGCUCAACCCGGGGAUUGCAGUGGGAACUGGAGGGCUUGAGUGUCCGAGAGGCAGGCGGAAUUCCUAGUGUAGCGGUGAAAUGCGUAGAUAUGAGGAGGAACACCGGUGGCGAAGGCGGCCUGCUGGAGGAUAACUGACGCUGAUGCUCGAAAGCGUGGGGAGCGAACAGGAUUAGAUACCCGGGUAGUC
RNAcentral lists this ribosomal RNA (440 nucleotides) under uncultured bacterium. RNAcentral describes it as "partial 16S ribosomal RNA". It matches the Rfam family "Bacterial small subunit ribosomal RNA", at positions 338 to 795 of the family's 1533-position model. The record is from RNAcentral.